Molecule: ribosomal RNA, 468 nt
Filed under: uncultured bacterium
Lineage: Bacteria
Description: partial 16S ribosomal RNA
Rfam family: Bacterial small subunit ribosomal RNA
Source: RNAcentral
GACGAACGCUGGCGGCGUGCUUAACACAUGCAAGUCGAACGGAAAGGCCCUGCUUUUGUGGGGUGCUUGAGUGGCGAACGGGUGAGUAACACGUGAGUAACCUGCCCUUGACUUUGGGAUAACUUCCGGAAACUGGGGCUAAUACCGGAUAGGAGCUCCUGCUGACUGGUGGGGGUGGGAAAGUUUCGGUGGUUGGGGAUGGACUCGUGGCUUAUCAGCUUGUUGGUGGGGUAGUGGCUUACCAAGGCUUUGACGGGUAGCCGGCCUGCGAGGGUGACCGGCCACAUUGGGACUGAGAUACGGCCCAGACUCCUACGGGAGGCAGCAGUGGGGAAUAUUGCACAAUGGGCGGAAGCCUGAUGCAGCAACACCGCGUGCGGGAUGACGGCCUUCGGGUUGUAAACCGCUUUCGCCUGUGACAAAGCGUUAGUGACGGUAAUGGGUAAAGAAGCACCGGCUAACUACGUG